RNAcentral lists this long non-coding RNA (1330 nucleotides) under Homo sapiens (human). RNAcentral's name for it is "HSALNT0405281". Lineage: Eukaryota; Metazoa; Chordata; Mammalia; Primates; Hominidae. The record is from RNAcentral.
UCCUCUGGCCGCCGGCCCGUCGGCCCUGCAAAGUUUAACGCCAAUUCCCCUUGCGUCCUGGGAGCCGAGCGUUUUCUCUCCCUGCUGACGCUCCCAGCAGCUCUGCCUGGCCAGGCCAGGCUGGAGAGCACCCGGACCAUUUUCCAGACGGUGAGAUGGAGCCCUGGAAACCGAGCUUAUGAGCAGCCCGGAGCUUUCCAUUGCCUGCCCAGCCUUCCAGAUACAUCCCAGUUCCAGUUCUUUCCAGAGCCCUCUGGGAUCCAGCCAGCCUGCUUCCCCGCCAGGGCCUCACUGCUUCCAAACCUACUUCCCAGAAAUUUGGUGGCUGCCUCUGUGCUAUGAUUUGGUUGCUACCUGCUGAAGCUUCAACCUCUCAUCACUACCAGAAGGACCACAUCACUAAAAGUCCAUCAAUGGGGUUACUCACUUUGAUGGGCCUGUGCAGCGUCAUUCAGGAAGCCCGUGGUACUCACAUCACUCUGGCCAGACGCUAACAAGAAAAUGAUCCACUGUGACGCAGCCGACCCCAUCCAGUGCAUCCACAUUACCUGGAAAGAAGCAAUUAUGCCCCUUUGGUUUCCUUGGAAAUGCUUGGUCUGUCUCUACCAUCCGCCCUGGCUCUUGAGAAAUACUCAUGCACGGUAGAGCUUUGACAGGGAGACAGUGUGUUUAUUUUCCAACUGAAAGUUUACAGAAUACAAAGUGAGCCUGUAAGAUGGUGGCCACUCUCCAGAGGCUUGUUGGUCAGACAGGAAAGAAAACCAGUGCACCAUCGGGAACGUGGAGGAGGCUGAAAGAGAGGGACAAACAUAUUGGAUUGGAUUGGGCCCCCACAGUCAAGUUCCUGCAAACCAAGCUGGGAGAUUUUCCUGACUAAGGGUUAUGUUCUUGGGCCUCAAAGCUCCCCAGCCAACGCCCAGCUUCUGUGCCGAGGAGGAUACAGGAGGACAGACACAGCCUCUGUGUCAGGAGGAGGGAAGAAGGACUAAUGUCUGUGGACACUCUGAGGCUCACAGGGAGAAGCCACACACUCGCAGCACCAGAUGAGUAAACAGAGGCUUGGAGGGGUGAUGAAAUUUGCCAACAGUCAUCAAUCGUUCCAGGAACAGGUGAUGCUUCCCGGCAGUGAGACUCGAAACCAGCGGGAGUUCCCAGCCAGAGACAUGAUCUAAGUGCCAAUGGCUGAAUGUCUGUGAGCAUUUCAAGUCAUUUUAAGAAUAGGCAACAUUAGCGGCACCAUUAAAGCCUGCUGUUCCUCCAGCCCAUCACUGCCAUCCCCACCUAUUAAAAUAAUGGCAUGAAAAAUAAACAGCCUUUAUGUACAAUUUUA